This is a non-coding RNA of Neolamprologus brichardi, 294 nucleotides long. NCBI's taxonomy places the organism in Eukaryota, Metazoa, Chordata, Actinopteri, Cichliformes, Cichlidae. The record is from RefSeq and is a predicted model, not a curated record.
CACUUCUGUCCUGACUUCACUGGAAAACUGUAGUCGACUAUAGAGGAACUCGUCUCUGACACAGACGUACAUCAGUCACAGAUGGUUCGUCUUCGUGACAGACACGGACACUGAGACAGUCAAGAUGAAGUUGCUGCUCGUUGUUGCUGCUGUUCUGGCUGUAUCCAGCUGUGCCAGCAUCUCUCUGGAAGAUCUGGAGUUUCAUGCCUGGAAACUCAAGUUUGAUAAGUCAUAUGAUUCUGAAUCAGAUGAGGCUCAAAGGAAGCAGAUCUGGCUCAACAACCGCAAACAUGU